RNAcentral lists this ribosomal RNA (485 nucleotides) under uncultured bacterium. Its description in RNAcentral is "bacterial SSU rRNA". It matches the Rfam family "Bacterial small subunit ribosomal RNA", at positions 28 to 521 of the family's 1533-position model. The record is from RNAcentral.
GACGAACGCUGGCGGCGCGCUUAACACAUGCAAGUCGAGCGAGAACCAGCCCUUCGGGACUGGGGACAGCGGCGAACGGGUGAGUAACACGUGGGUAAUCUGCCCUCGAUUCUGGGAUAGCCCGGGGAAACCCGGAUUAAUACCGGAUAGCCUCUCGAGCUCUCGGGCUCUUGAGAAAAGGUAGCUUCGGCCUCCGAUCGAGGAUGAGCCCGCGGCGGAUUAGCUUGUUGGUGGGGAAUGGCCUACCAAGGCAACGAUCCGUAGCUGGUCUGAGAGGACGAUCAGCCACACUGGGACUGAGACACGGCCCAGACUCCUACGGGAGGCAGCAGUGGGGAAUCUUGCGCAAUGGGCGAAAGCCUGACGCAGCGACGCCGCGUGGGGGAAGAAGGCCUUAGGGUGUAAACCUCUUUCAGCUCCGACGAAGCGUAAGUGACGGUAGGAGCAGAAGAAGCACCGGCCAACUACGUGCCAGCAGCCGCGGU